RNAcentral lists this ribosomal RNA (362 nucleotides) under uncultured bacterium. RNAcentral describes it as "bacterial SSU rRNA". It matches the Rfam family "Bacterial small subunit ribosomal RNA", at positions 28 to 396 of the family's 1533-position model. The record is from RNAcentral.
GAUGAACGCUGGCGGCGUGCCUAAUACAUGCAAGUCGAACGGGGAGUAGCAAUACUUCUAGUGGCGAACGGGUGAGUAACGCGUUGGUGACCUGCCCCGAAGCGUGGGAUACCAAUCCGAAAGGAUUGCUAAUACCGCAUGGAGUUCUCGAGAUUAGAGGCUUGGGAACGAAAGGAGACAUUCACUUCGGGAGGGGCCUGCGUCCCAUCAGCUAGUUGGUGAGGUAACGGCUCACCAAGGCGAUGACGGGUAGGGACCUGAGAGGGUGCCCCCCCANAAUGGAACUGAAACACGGUCCAUACACCUACGGGUGGCAGCAGUAGGGAAUAUUGCAAAAUGGGCGCAAGCCCGAUGCAGCAACG